GUACUCGAGUGGCGAACGGGUGAGUAACACGUGGGUGAUCUGCCCUGCACUUCGGGAUAAGCCUGGGAAACUGGGUCUAAUACCGGAUAGGACCAUCGUUUAGUGUCGGUGGUGGAAAGUUUUUCGGUGCAGGAUGAGCCCGCGGCCUAUCAGCUUGUUGGUGGGGUAAUGGCCUACCAAGGCGUCGACGGGUAGCCGGCCUGAGAGGGUGGACGGCCACAUUGGGACUGAGACACGGCCCAGACUCCUACGGGAGGCAGCAGUGGGGAAUAUUGCACAAUGGGCGCAAGCCUGAUGCAGCGACGCCGCGUGGGGGAUGAAGGCCUUCGGGUUGUAAACUCCUUUCAGCAGGGACGAAGCUUUUGUGACGGUACCUGCAGAAGAAGCACCGGCUAACUACGUGCCAGCAGCCGCGGUAAUACGUAGGGUGCGAGCGUUGUCCGGAAUUACUGGGCGUAAAGAGCUCGUAGGUGGUUUGUCGCGUCGUCUGUGAAAUUCCGGGGCUUAACUCCGGGCGUGCAGGCGAUACGGGCAUAACUUGAGUGCUGUAGGGGAGACUGGAAUUCCUGGUGUAGCGGUGAAAUGCGCAGAUAUCAGGAGGAACACCGAUGGCGAAGGCAGGUCUCUGGGCAGUUACUGACGCUGAGGAGCGAAAGCAUGGGUAGCGAACAG
Molecule: ribosomal RNA, 672 nt
Filed under: Corynebacterium variabile
Lineage: Bacteria; Bacillati; Actinomycetota; Actinomycetes; Mycobacteriales; Corynebacteriaceae
Description: bacterial SSU rRNA
Rfam family: Bacterial small subunit ribosomal RNA
Source: RNAcentral